UCUUGGUCAAUUUAGAGGAAGUAAAAGUCGUAACAAGGUUUCCGUAGGUGAACCUGCGGAAGGAUCAUUAAUGAAACUUCAAAGUCGGCUUGGUCGUCUGUGCUGGUGGAGACACAUGUGCACGUCGACACAGUCGCAAACCCCACACACCUGUGCAUCUAUGACUCUGAGUACCGCUUGCAUGGGCCGUCAAACACCCUGGUACUCGAGUAACUUUCACACACUCUGAAUGUAAUGGAAUGUCUAUUGUACAAUGUACAACCAAAAACAACUUUCAACAACGGAUCUCUUGGCUCUCGCAUCGAUGAAGAACGCAGCGAAAUGCGAUAAGUAAUGUGAAUUGCAGAAUUCAGUGAAUCAUCGAAUCUUUGAACGCACCUUGCACCCUUUGGUAUUCCGAAGGGUACACCCGUUUGAGUGUCAUUGUAAUCUCACUACAACCGCUUUUUUGUGGUUGCAUGUGGACUUGGAUGUUGCCGUGUCACAAACGGCUCGUCUGAAAUGCCUGAGUGUACCCCUGCUUUGCGGCGUAUUCGGUGUGAUAAAUCUUCACCGGAGUUGACCCUCAGGGUCACGUCUGCUUGACAUGGCUCUAUGCUUCCAACUGUCCUGACAAGACAAUCUUUGACAAUUUGACCUCAAAUCGGGUGGGACUACCCGCUGAACUUAAGCAUAUCAAUAAGCGGAGGAA
This 691-nucleotide ribosomal RNA is filed under the name uncultured Sebacina. RNAcentral's name for it is "eukaryotic LSU rRNA". The stretch from base 270 to 423 matches the Rfam family "5.8S ribosomal RNA". Lineage: Eukaryota; Fungi; Basidiomycota; Agaricomycetes; Sebacinales; Sebacinaceae. The record is from RNAcentral.